This 257-nucleotide ribosomal RNA is filed under the name uncultured prokaryote. RNAcentral describes it as "partial 16S ribosomal RNA". It matches the Rfam family "Bacterial small subunit ribosomal RNA", at positions 525 to 777 of the family's 1533-position model. The record is from RNAcentral.
ACAGAGACCUCAAGCGUUAUCCGGAAUCAUUGGGCGUAAAGCGUACCGAUAGGUGGUCAAGAAAGCCAAAAGUGAAAUCUCCGAGCUCAACUCGGAAUCUGUCUUUUGGAACUUCUCGACUAGAGGGGCAAAGAGGAAGCUGGAACGAACGGUGUAGUAGUGAAAUGCGUUGAUAUCGUUCGGAACACCAAUAGCGUAGGCAGGCUUCUGGGUGCCACCUGACACUGCUAGGACGAAAGCGUGGGGAGCGAAUGGGA